Molecule: small nuclear RNA, 104 nt
Organism: Manis pentadactyla (Chinese pangolin)
Lineage: Eukaryota; Metazoa; Chordata; Mammalia; Pholidota; Manidae
Source: RefSeq, a predicted model, not a curated record
GUGCUCACCUCAGCAGCACAUGUAAUAAAAUUGGAAUGAUGUAGUGAUUAAUGGGGCCCCAACACAAGGGUGACAUGCAGGUUCAUGGAGCGUUCCAUAUUUUU